This 306-nucleotide unclassified non-coding RNA is filed under the name uncultured Rhizophydium. RNAcentral's name for it is "sequence contains ITS2". Lineage: Eukaryota; Fungi; Chytridiomycota; Chytridiomycetes; Rhizophydiales; Rhizophydiaceae. The record is from RNAcentral.
AACGCACAUUGCACUCUGUUUCGGCAGAGUAUGCCUGUUUGAGAAUCUAUAGUAUUCAUUCUCCAACUUUGGGUAUUUAUACCUAGGGAAGGAGAGAUUUGAGGCGUCGCACUUACCCUGCGUGCCUUUAAAACUAUUGCUGCUGGAUACUGUCAAGUAACGGAAAAGUAUGUGUAUGGAACUUCGGUUUCUCUAAUACUUAGUACGGGUGAUGGUGCUUGUCCGGCACUCAACUAUUAAAGUUAUCCUUUCGGGGGUAACUUGAACCAUGGUCUCAAAUCAGGCAGGAAGACCCGCUGAACUUAA